AACGAACGCUGGCGGCAUGCCUAACACAUGCAAGUCGAACGAUUGCCUUCGGGUGAUAGUGGCGCACGGGUGCGUAACGCGUGGGAAUCUGCCCUUAGGUUCGGAAUAACAGCUGGAAACGGCUGCUAAUACCGGAUGAUAUCGCGAGAUCAAAGAUUUAUCGCCUGAGGAUGAGCCCGCGUUGGGUUAGGUAGUUGGUGGGGUAAAGGCCUACCAAGCCGACGAUCGAUAGCUGGUCUGAGAGGAUGAUCAGCCACACUGGGACUGAGACACGGCCCAGACUCCUACGGGAGGCAGCAGUGGGGAAUAUUGGACAAUGGGCGCAAGCCUGAUCCAACAAUGCCGCGUGAGUGAUGAAGGCCCUAGGGUUGUAAAGCUCUUUUACCCGGGAAGAUAAUGACUGUACCGGGAGAAUAAGCCCCGGCUAACUCCGUG
RNAcentral lists this ribosomal RNA (435 nucleotides) under uncultured bacterium. RNAcentral's name for it is "partial 16S ribosomal RNA". It matches the Rfam family "Bacterial small subunit ribosomal RNA", at positions 29 to 507 of the family's 1533-position model. The record is from RNAcentral.